AGAGUUUGAUCCUGGCUCAGGACGAACGCUGGCGGCGUGCCUAACACAUGCAAGUCGAACGGACGAGAGGGAGCUUGCUCCCUCAAGUUAGUGGCGGACGGGUGAGUAACGCGUGAGUAACUUGCCUUGGAGUGGGGAAUAACAGUCCGAAAGGACUGCUAAUACCGCAUAAUGCAGUUGGGCCGCAUGGCUCUGACUGCCAAAGAUUUAUCGCUCUGAGAUGGCCUCGCGUCUGAUUAGCUAGUAGGCGGGGUAACGGCCCACCUAGGCGACGAUCAGUAGCCGG
Molecule: ribosomal RNA, 286 nt
Filed under: uncultured bacterium
Lineage: Bacteria
Description: partial 16S ribosomal RNA
Rfam family: Bacterial small subunit ribosomal RNA
Source: RNAcentral